This 479-nucleotide ribosomal RNA is filed under the name uncultured bacterium. RNAcentral's name for it is "partial 16S ribosomal RNA". It matches the Rfam family "Bacterial small subunit ribosomal RNA", at positions 28 to 507 of the family's 1533-position model. The record is from RNAcentral.
GAUGAACGCUAGCGGGAGGCCUAACACAUGCAAGCCGAGCGGUAUUGUUUCUUCGGAAAUGAGAGAGCGGCGUACGGGUGCGUAACACGUGCGCAACCUGCCUUUAUCUGGGGGAUAGCCUUUCGAAAGGAAGAUUAAUACUCCAUAAUAUAUUGAACGGCAUCGUUUAAUAUUGAAAGCUCCGGCGGAUAGAGAUGGGCACGCGCAAGAUUAGCUAGUUGGUGAGGUAACGGCUCACCAAGGCGAUGAUCUUUAGGGGGCCUGAGAGGGUGAUCCCCCACACUGGUACUGAGACACGGACCAGACUCCUACGGGAGGCAGCAGUGAGGAAUAUUGGUCAAUGGGUGCAAGCCUGAACCAGCCAUCCCGCGUGAAGGACGACUGCCCUAUGGGUUGUAAACUUCUUUUGUAUAGGGAUAAACCUACCCUCGUGAGGGUAGCUGAAGGUACUAUACGAAUAAGCACCGGCUAACUCCGUG